GAUGAACGCUGGCGGCGUGCCUAAUACAUGCAAGUCGAGCGAACGGAUCAGAAGCUUGCUCCCCUGAUUUUAUCGCCCGUCGGGUCAUUCACUCGUGUUUAACCUACCUCUCCGACUGGGAUACCUUUGCGAAAUCGUAUCCUCUACCGGAUAAUUUUUUGCCCCGCAUUGUUCACACGUGAAAUUCGCUCUUUCUUUCACUUAUAGCUUGCUCCGCCCUGCAUUAGCUAGUUGUUAAGGUAACUGCUUACCAAGGCUACGAGGCAUAGCCGACCUGAGAGGGUGGUCGGCCACACUGGAAGUGAGACACAGUCCAGACACCUACGGGAGGCAACAGUAGAGAAUCUUACGGAAGGGAGGAGAGGCGGACAGAGCAACACCGCGUGAGGGAUGAAGGACUUAGGAUCGUAAAGCGCUGUAAGUAGGAGGGAAGAUAAGUGUAAGUAACUGUGAAGAUAAUGACGGUACCGAAUCAGAAAGCCACGGCUAACUACGUG
RNAcentral lists this ribosomal RNA (497 nucleotides) under uncultured bacterium. RNAcentral's name for it is "partial 16S ribosomal RNA". It matches the Rfam family "Bacterial small subunit ribosomal RNA", at positions 28 to 507 of the family's 1533-position model. The record is from RNAcentral.